UGGGGAAUAUUGCACACUGGAGGGAACUCUGAUGCAGCGACGCCGCGUGAACGAAGAAGGCUUUCGAGUCGUAAAGUUCUUGUAUAUGGGAAGAUAAUGACGGUACCAUAAGAAAAAUCCCCGGCUAACUACGUGACAGAAGCCGCGGUAAUACGUAGGGGGCUAGCGUUGUCCGGAAUCACUGGGCGUAAAGGGUUCGCAGGCGGAAAUGCAAGUCAGGUGUAAAAGGCAGUAGCUUACCUACUGUAAGCAUUUGAAACUGCAUAUCUUGAGAAGAGUAGAGGUAAGUGGAAUUUUUAGUGUAGCGGUGAAAUGCGUAGAUAUUAAAAAGAAUACCGGUGGCGAAGGCGACUUACUGGGCUCAUUCUGACGCUGAGGAACGAAAGCGUGGGUAGCAAACAGG
RNAcentral lists this ribosomal RNA (403 nucleotides) under bacterium. Its description in RNAcentral is "partial 16S ribosomal RNA". It matches the Rfam family "Bacterial small subunit ribosomal RNA", at positions 355 to 776 of the family's 1533-position model. The record is from RNAcentral.